Molecule: ribosomal RNA, 496 nt
Filed under: uncultured bacterium
Lineage: Bacteria
Description: bacterial SSU rRNA
Rfam family: Bacterial small subunit ribosomal RNA
Source: RNAcentral
GAUGAACGCUAGCGACAGGCCUAACACAUGCAAGUCGAGGGGCAGCGGGGGAGUGGCAACACUCCGCCGGCGACCGGCGCACGGGUGAGUAACGCGUAUGCAACCUGCCCGCACCAGGGGGAUAACCGGGAGAAGUCCCGUCUAAUACCGCGUAACGCCUCAAGGGGGCAUCCCCAUGAGGCCAAAGGGUUUCCGGGAGCGGAUGGGCAUGCGUGACAUUAGCUAGUUGGCGGGGUAACGCCCACCAAGGCGACGAUGUCUAGGGGUUCUGAGAGGAAGGUCCCCCACAUUGGUACUGAGACACGGACCAAACUCCUACGGGAGGCAGCAGUGAGGAAUAUUGGUCAAUGGGCGCAGGCCUGAACCAGCCAAGUCGCGUGCAGGAAGACGGCCCUAUGGGUUGUAAACUGCUUUCAGUCGGGAAUAAUUCGUCGGUCGUGACCGGCGUUUGCAGGUACCGUCAUAAGAAGACCGGCUAAUUCCGUGCCAGCAGCCG